RNAcentral lists this transfer RNA (84 nucleotides) under Salmonella phage SPHG3. RNAcentral's name for it is "tRNA-Tyr". The record is from RNAcentral. Lineage: Duplodnaviria; Heunggongvirae; Uroviricota; Caudoviricetes; Pantevenvirales; Ackermannviridae.
GUGAGUGUGGUUAUCAGAGCAGGUCGAAUGCAGGAGAAAAUCUCCUCCGUAACAGCGCGGUGGUUCAAAUUCCAUCCACUCACA